ACGAGGUGCAGUAGCAUGUGCCUGUUGUCCCAGCUACUCAGGAGGCUGAGGUAGGAGGAUCACAUUAGCCUAGGAGUUCAGGCUAUAGUGUACCAUGCCAAUUGGGUGUCCACAGAGUUUGGCAUCAAUAUGGUGACCUCCCAGGAGCAGGGAACCCGUAGAUUGCCUAAGGAGGAGUGAAUCUGUCCAGGUCAGAAAUGAAGCAGUUCAAAACUCCCAUGCAGAUCAGUAGUGGGAUCGUGCCUAUGAAUAGCCACUGUACUCCAGCGUGGGCGACAUAGUGAGACCCUGUCUCU
Molecule: signal recognition particle RNA, 296 nt
Filed under: Cebus imitator (Panamanian white-faced capuchin)
Lineage: Eukaryota; Metazoa; Chordata; Mammalia; Primates; Cebidae
Description: Metazoan signal recognition particle RNA (ENSCCAG00000015130.1)
Rfam family: Metazoan signal recognition particle RNA
About the family: The signal recognition particle (SRP) is a universally conserved ribonucleoprotein. It is involved in the co-translational targeting of proteins to membranes.
Source: RNAcentral